Molecule: ribosomal RNA, 458 nt
Filed under: uncultured bacterium
Lineage: Bacteria
Description: partial 16S ribosomal RNA
Rfam family: Bacterial small subunit ribosomal RNA
Source: RNAcentral
CCUACGGGUGGCUGCAGUGAGGAAUAUUGGUCAAUGGGCGCGAGCCUGAACCAGCCAAGUCGCGUGAGGGAGUACUGCCCUAUGGGUUGUAAACCUCUUUUGUCGGGGAGCAAAAGCCGGACGUGUCCGGCUGUGAGAGUUCCCGAAGAAAAAGCAUCGGCUAACUUCGUGCCAGCAGCCGCGGUAAUCGGGAGGAUGCGAGCGUUAUCCGGUUUUAUGGGGGUUUAAGGGUGGGCAGGGGGGUUUUUAAGUCAGCGGUAAAAUCGUGGGGUGCAACCCCAUCCAGACGGUGAUACUGGGGAGCUAGAGUGUGCUAGCGGUAGGCGGAAUGCGUGGUGUAGCGGUGAAAUGCAUAGAGAUCACACAGAACCCCGAUUGCGAAGGAAGCAUACCGGUCCACAACUGACGCUCAGGCACGAAAGCGUGGGUAUCGAACAGGAUUAGAUACCCGAGUAGUC